Molecule: ribosomal RNA, 396 nt
Filed under: uncultured bacterium
Lineage: Bacteria
Description: bacterial SSU rRNA
Rfam family: Bacterial small subunit ribosomal RNA
Source: RNAcentral
GGAAUUUUGGGCAAUGGGCGAAAGCCUGACCCAGCAACGCCGCGUGAGUGAUGAAGGCCUUCGGGUUGUAAAACUCUUUUGCAGGGGAAGAUGAUGACGGUACCCUGCGAAUAAGCCACGGCUAACUACGUUCCAGCAGCCGCGGUAAUACGUAGGUGGCGAGCGUUGUCCGGAUUUACUGGGCGUAAAGGGCGUGCAGGCGGCCGGUUAAGUCUAGGGUGAAAGCUCCCGGCUCAACUGGGAGAGGUCCUUGGAUACUGGCGGGCUUGAGGGAGGCAGAGGAAAGUAGAAUUCCCAGUGUAGUGGUGAUAUGCGUAGAUAUCGGGAGGAAUACCAGUGGCGAAGGCGGCUUUCUGGGCCUUACCUGACGCUGAGACGCGAAAGCGUGGGGAGCGA